RNAcentral lists this ribosomal RNA (269 nucleotides) under uncultured bacterium. RNAcentral's name for it is "partial 16S ribosomal RNA". It matches the Rfam family "Bacterial small subunit ribosomal RNA", at positions 467 to 736 of the family's 1533-position model. The record is from RNAcentral.
GGUUGACGGUAGCUGGAUAAGAAGCGCCGGCUAACUACGUGCCAGCAGCCGCGGUAAUACGUAGGGCGCGAGCGUUGUCCGGAAUUAUUGGGCGUAAAGAGCUCGUAGGCGGCUGGUCGCGUCUGUCGUGAAAUCCUCUGGCUUAACUGGGGGCUUGCGGUGGGUACGGGCCGGCUUGAGUGCGGUAGGGGAGACUGGAACUCCUGGUGUAGCGGUGGAAUGCGCAGAUAUCAGGAAGAACACCGGUGGCGAAGGCGUCGACGCGGCCG